GAGUGCUGGCUUUGGCCACACAUGGACUCAAGUUGGAACGAGACACACAAAAUUAACACGGGCCCUGUGCUGGGAUGACAAACAAAUUCAUGAAGUGAUCAAAAUGUUA
Molecule: small nuclear RNA, 109 nt
Organism: Trichosurus vulpecula (common brushtail)
Lineage: Eukaryota; Metazoa; Chordata; Mammalia; Diprotodontia; Phalangeridae
Source: RefSeq, a predicted model, not a curated record